RNAcentral lists this ribosomal RNA (702 nucleotides) under uncultured bacterium. Its description in RNAcentral is "bacterial SSU rRNA". It matches the Rfam family "Bacterial small subunit ribosomal RNA", at positions 1 to 718 of the family's 1533-position model. The record is from RNAcentral.
CCCUUAGAGUUUGAUCCUGGCUCAGAAUCAACGCUGGCGGCGUGCCUCAGACAUGCAAGUCGAACGAUUAAAGCUCUCUUCGGAGAGUGUAUAGAGUGGCGCACGGGUGAGUAACACGUAAGUAAUCUACCCUCGAGUGGGGAAUAACGUCCGGAAACGGACGCUAAUACCGCAUAAUGCAGCGGCACCGCAAGGUGACAGUUGUUAAAGAUUUAUCGCUUGAGGAGGAGCUUGCGGCAGAUUAGCUAGUUGGUAAGGUAAUGGCUUACCAAGGCUACGAUCUGUAACCGGUCUAAGAGGACGGUCGGUCACACUGACACUGAAUAACGGGUCAGACUCCUACGGGAGGCAGCAGUCGGGAAUUUUGGGCAAUGGGCGAAAGCCUGACCCAGCAACGCCGCGUGAAGGAUGAAGUAUUUCGGUAUGUAAACUUCGAAAGAAUGGGAAGAAUCAAUGACGGUACCAUUUAUAAGGUCCGGCUAACUACGUGCCAGCAGCCGCGGUAAUACGUAGGGACCAAGCGUUGUUCGGAUUUACUGGGCGUAAAGGGCGCGUAGGCGGCAAUUCAAGUCAUCUGUGAAAUCUCCGGGCUUAACUCGGAACGGUCAGAUGAUACUGCUUUGCUCGAGUGCGGAAGGGGGCAAUCGGAAUUCUUGGUGUAGCGGUGAAAUGCGUAGAUAUCAAGAGGAACACCUGAGGUGA